AGGGCGCAUGGCGGAUGCCUUGGCUCUCGGAGGCGAUGAAGGACGUGAUAAGCUGCGAUAAGCUUUGGGGAGGUGCAAAUGACCUUUGAUCCAGAGAUUUCCGAAUGGGACAACCCAAUAUCUUGAAGAGGUAUUAUCCAACGUUGUUGGAGGCUAACGCAGGGAACUGAAACAUCUUAGUACCUGCAGGAAAAGAAAAUAAACAAUGAUUCCCCCAGUAGUGGCGAGCGAACGGGGAACAGCCCAAACCAUCCAUGUUACGGCAUGGGUGGGGUUGUAGGACUACGCCGUUGCAUGAAGACAUCAGAGAAGAACUUUCUGGAAAGAAAGACCAUAGAGCAUGACAGUUGCGUAUUCGAAUGUUGUCGAAGCAUAGUAGUAUCCUGAGUAGCGCGGAGCACGAGGAAUUCUGCGUGAAUCUGCCGGGACCAUCCGGUAAGGCUAAAUACUCCCGAGAGACCGAUAGCGAACCAGUACCGUGAGGGAAAGGUGAAAAGCACUUCGAACAGAAGAGUGAAAUAGUUCCUGAAACCGUGCGCCUACAAGCGGUCGGAGCUCGUUAAUGAGUGACGGCGUGCCUUUUGCAUAAUGAACCUACGAGUUGCCUUUGCCGGCAAGGUUAAGUGUGACGACACACGUAUCCGAAGCGAAAGCGAGUCUGAACAGGGCGUAUAGUCGGCAGUGGCAGACGCGAAACCAAGUGAUCUACCCUUGGCCAGGUUGAAGGCUGGGUAACACCAGCUGGAGGACCGCACCAAUAAGCGUUGAAAAGCUUCUGGAUGAGCUGAGGGUAGGGGUGAAAGGCUAAUCAAACUUGGAGAUAGCUCGUACUCCCCGAAAUGCAUUUAGGUGCAGCCUUGCGGGUUACUGAUGUGAGGUAGAGCGACUGAUAAGAUGCGAGGGCUUCACCGCCUAUCAAGUCUUGACAAACUCCGAAUGCGCAUCAGUUCUACCGCAGGAGUGAGGGCAUGGGUGCUAAGGUCCGUGCCCGAGAGGAGAAGAAUCCGGACCACCUGCUAAGGUCCCGAAAUGACAGCUAAGUUAAACUAACGAAGUCUGACUGCUAAGACAGCUAGGAUGUUGGCUUGGAAGCAGCCAUUCAUUUAAAGAGUGCGUAACAGCUCACUAGUCGAGGAGUCGGGCGUGGAUAAUAAUCGGGUAUUAAGUUGUCUACCGAAGCAGUGGGAUCAUUAAUAUGAUCGGUAGGGGAGCAUUCCAGUCAGCGUCGAAGGCGUACCGUGAGGUAUUCUGGAGCGUCUGGAAAAGCAAAUGUAGGUAUAAGUAACGAUAAAGGGGGCGGGAAACCCCCUCGCCGAAAGACUAAGGUUUCCUGAUCAACGCUAAUCGGAUCAGGGUCAGUCGGGUCCUAAGGCUCAGCCGAACGGCGAUGCCGAUGGCAGAAACGGUUAAUAUUCCGUUACUACCUUCAGGAGUGACGUGGAGACGCAGUAGUGACAGUGCCGCCAUCUGACGGAAUAGAUGGUUGAAGGGUGUAGGAGUCGAUCAUGGCAGGCAAAUCCACCAUGAGAUCCGAACCUGACAGUAUGCCGCGUCCUUCGGGACAAGGCAAUAGUGCGCGUAAGCAUGCUGCCGAGAAAAUCCGCUAAACUUAAUCCUGCAGGUACCCGUACCGCAAACGGACACACGUAGUCGGGAUGAAUAUUCUAAGGCGCUUGAGUGAUUCACGGUUAAGGAACUAGGCAAACUGACCCUGUAACUUCGGGAUAAAGGGUCCCUACCCUUUUAUGGGAGGGCGCAGAGAAUCGGUCCAGGCAACUGUUUAACAAAAACACAGGGCUGUGCCAAAUCGAAAGAUCCAGUAUACAGCCUGACACCUGCCCGGUGCUGGAAGGUUAAGAGGAGAUGUCAUCGAUAAGAGAAGCGUUGAAUUGAAGCCCCAGUAAACGGCGGCCGUAACUAUAACGGUCCUAAGGUAGCGAAAUUCCUUGUCGGGUAAGUUCCGACCUGCACGAAUGGUGUAAUGAUCUGGACGCUGUCUCAACCGUGAGCUCAGUGAAAUUGUAGUAUCGGUGAAGAUGCCGAUUACCCGCGAUGGGACGAAAAGACCCCGUGAACCUUUACUAUAGCUUAUCAUUGAAUCUGGGCACGUGAUGUGUAGGAUAGGUCGGAGGCUUUGAAGCAGGUACGCCAGUAUUUGUGGAGCCGCUGUUGAAAUACGACCCUUUAUUUGUUUGGAUUCUAACCCGUGGA
This 2211-nucleotide ribosomal RNA is filed under the name gut metagenome. Its description in RNAcentral is "bacterial LSU rRNA". It matches the Rfam family "Bacterial large subunit ribosomal RNA", at positions 14 to 2233 of the family's 2925-position model. The record is from RNAcentral.